Molecule: long non-coding RNA, 3184 nt
Filed under: Homo sapiens (human)
Lineage: Eukaryota; Metazoa; Chordata; Mammalia; Primates; Hominidae
Description: HSALNT0185861
Source: RNAcentral
GGGAAAACUAAGAUUGAUUUUGGAAUGAAACAUGCAGUCUCAACUUAAGAACACCCAAUUUACAAAACUAUAUAUAUCCAGACAGAGUCAUACUGAAUGCCAUGUUCUCCCACAUCAAUGUCAAAUGCUUAGCAUGGCCAGCAAAAAGCUGUUCCUUUGCUGUAAUGCAACCGUGUCUUCUGAAUAUGGAUCCAUAUUCACUUUCCAUCUUAUCCUCCAUCAGACACACUCUUCUUUUCCUAAAGCAUUUGCAGGGCAACAGAGGGUUCCAGGUUUCAGAAUUUAAACAGUCGUAUCUCAUUGAAAAUAAGUUUAAUGAUUAUUAAGUUUCCAAGCUAGAUUACAGAAGUCUUUUUAGCCCAUAUCAUAAAUAAAAUAGUUCUGAAUUUUUCGUAUGGAAAAAUAUACUCUGAGUUCCAAGCAAACAACUUAAGAAAAUUUUUAGAACUAACACAUUCCUAUAUUGGGAAGAGCUCAAAAGUCUGUUCUUCCUCCCCAUCCACUGUUGUUUAAUUAAUCUCUUAAUAUCAUAAAGUCCCUCAUGUGCCAAGUGUAGACAGUCAUUUUUGAAUCAGGGCUCACUUUGUUAGCUUUUUUGUCAAUUAAACCUCUUUUCUAUAUAAAUUACCGAGUCUCAAGUAUGUCUUCAUAGCAGUGUGAAAACAGACUAAUACAGGAAUUUGGUACCAGGAGUGGGGCAUUGCUAUAAAGAUACUUGAAAGUGUGGAAGCACCUUUGGAACUGGGUAACGGGUAGAGGUUGGAAGAGUUUGGAGGGCUCAGAAGAAGACAGGAAGAUGAAGGAAAGUUUGGAGCUUCCUGGAGACUUGUUGAAUGGUUUUAACCAAAAUGCUGACAGUGAUGUGGACGAUUAAGUCCACACUGAGGUGGUCUCAGAAGGAGAUGAGGAACUUAUUGGGAACUGGAGUUGCCAAUAGAUCAGCAGUUAACCAGAAGCUUGAGUUGAGUAUGGACCUGACAUAUGGAUAGACAUAUUGACAUCUUAUGCUAGUGUUCUGGCCCUCCCUGCCCCGACAGUGAUAGAAGCAUCCAUCAACGCCCAUCCUGACAUCAGCAUAAAGCACAGGUUGGAGAGAUUGUAGAUAAAGGCAGAGAGGCUAUUAUAAUGCUUCUCACCUCCAGUUCCCCAGAUGGAAGACAAGGAGGCCCUGGAACAAAGGAAUGGCAUUUGGGACAAAGUGAUGUUGGCAAGUAAGAAAUGCAGCAGUGGUCCAACCCACAGGAGAUGCCAGACAAUUGCUCAUGGCAUGAGAUAGGGUCAUGAGGAAAAGCUGAAGAACUGAAAAUCUUUCUUCUUCCCUCCCUAGGCAUCUUUAAAGUGAGUCACCCCUCCUCACAAUCUACUCCAAAAUUUCCAACAAGUUUUCUUCUUUUCAUUCUUCCUCCCACCAGCCUAUCCUAUUCCCUUCUCUCCCCCCACAAAAUCUAGCUCUUCUUUAAAUACAUUUAAACAUUUUCGCUAGGACAUUUCAUCUAUACAGGAUAUGCUAUAUUCUAACUAUUUCUUAGUAAACAUUGAAGGGAGUUUCUUCCUUUAUUCAAGUAUGGAACCCUGCUCAAUAUCCUUUUGGUCUUCAUAUGCCUUCUUUCAAGGCCUUUGUGAAAUUUUUUUCCAUGCCUGAAAGCCGGUGGGGUUUUACACAGGGACUGCGAUGGCUAAAUCCAAGGCAGAGUGGGAUCUUUAUCUAUUAACCAUUUGAUAACUCAAGUUUAUCCCUUGAUGAAUGAAUAAGUUAUCAUUUGCCUUUGGGUCCCAUUCUUGAGUGGUCAUGGAGAGUUCUGUAGCUCACCCUCUUUAUACUCAUAAUUUGCACAAAUUUCACCUAAGAGUAUUUACUUAACCACUUUAAUUCAAUUUGUCUCUACCUAAGACAUUUAAUUCAACAAAUAUUUUUUAAGCUUCUCUAUAAAAGGGACUCUGGCAACUUUCAGACCCGCACUGUAGCACCAGCUCUCUGCUGGCCCACCCCUUGCAGACUUUGGGCUUGCCUGCCUUCAAAAUCAUGUGAGUCAAUUCCUUAAAAUAAAUAUAUUUUUAUUUAUUUAUAUAUAUGUUUGCACACACACGCGAAUCUUAUUUUUUCUGUUUCUCUGGAGAAUUCUGACUAAUGCACCCCCAUUCACCAUCCAGGCUUUUGAGGAGAAAGAUACCAAUCUUAGCAGCAGAGGACACUCUGGAUAGAGCUAGGAGUUUGUUGCAGAGUCUGACAAAAGUUCCCUCUGCAGAAGGGAUGGAAGGAUAGCCUUGGGGGUUGAUUUAGGACUGGGUGUAUGACAUGGGGGAAAAGAAAUCCCUGGGGGAGCUAAAUGAGGGGAGGUGGACCCCUUAUGAUAGUUUAUCAGAGCAAUCUAAGAAAUCAUGUAGGCCUCUAAGAAAGCAUCAAGAAUCAAUGCAAUUUGAUUAAUUGACUUAAAAUAUGUUGAACUUUUCAGCCUCCAUUGUGUAUUUUUGGUGCAAUACUCUGUGCAACUAUUUCAUCCAAGACCAGAAGGGGCUGGAAGAUUGCCUGCUUCACAUUAAAACCCUCCUUAUUGUAUUGGUGCUGACACGACACAAGGAUAUGCAGUCUUUAUCCAGUCCUUAUUGCUCACAGAAAGAUACCAGUCCUUACUGCUCACAGAAAGUAGUGAAGCCUCCCUUCACUCACAGAGCCCACACAGGUAUGCCCUGGUUUAUGUAAUGAAUGGGCUGCUACAAAUAGGUGUGAUGCAUGCCUUUGUGAAUCACUUUAUAUUUUGAAGACACAUUAGAGGAGCUGGCUAUUUCAAAGAAAUUUCACAAGUGCCUCAUUUCUUAAUGUCACAAGCAUUUCUGAUUUAUAAUCAUAACCCCUUUCUAAUGUAUUAGCUUAUGAAGUUCCAUUUUUUGCCUAAGAGGUUUAAUCAAAGCAAGAUAAAACUAUGCUUAAUAAUAUUCAGUUACCUGAAAGAGCUAUUGCAGAAAUGCCUAAUAUAUUACCAGAAAGUAGCUUAAUGUCUCAAAUAAAUGUCAAGUUGUCCAAAUCAAACUGAUAGGCAGCUUAAUGAGGGAUAAAUGUCAUAAUUAUCCAUAUUUCUCCACAUUUUUUUUAGAAAAAAACAUUCACACAAUGAAGGGAAUCAGAAUCUGUUUUUAUAUCCCUAGAGUUAUAAACAUUUGUAUCAAAAUAUUUACAAUUAUAGUA